GACGAACGCUGGCGGCGUGCCUAACACAUGCAGGUCGAACGGAAAGGCCCUGCUUGUUGCGUUCUCGAGUGGCGAACGGGGGAGUAACACGUAGGUGAUCUGCCCUGCACUUCGGGAUAGGCCUGGGAAACUGAGCGUAAUACCGGACAGCAGCCAUUUUUAGUGUGAUGGUUGGAAAGUUUUUGCGGUGUGGGGUGAGCUUGCGGCCUAUCAGCUUGUUGGUGUGGUAAUGGCCUACCAAGGCGGCGACGGGGAGCCGGCCAGUGUGAGUGGACGGCGAUCCAGGGUCUGAGGGGAGGCACAGGUUCGGACUGGUGGCAAAAGGGGGGAAGCUUGAUGAAGGGGCGCAGGGUGGAUGAAGAGGGGCCGCGUGGGGGAUAACGGUCUUAGGGUUGAAGAAUCCAUUCGCGAGGAACGAAGCUCUUUGUGACGGUACCUAGAUAAGAAGCACCGGCUAACUACGUG
This 465-nucleotide ribosomal RNA is filed under the name uncultured bacterium. Its description in RNAcentral is "partial 16S ribosomal RNA". It matches the Rfam family "Bacterial small subunit ribosomal RNA", at positions 28 to 507 of the family's 1533-position model. The record is from RNAcentral.